This is a long non-coding RNA of Coturnix japonica (Japanese quail), 1618 nucleotides long. Lineage: Eukaryota; Metazoa; Chordata; Aves; Galliformes; Phasianidae. The record is from Ensembl.
AUACAACAUAGCAGUGAUAUAUUAUGAAGGUAGAAGAAGUUUCAAUAGUGAAGAGCCAAAUAAAAAAGUAAGGUUUUCUUUUUAACAAUUGGUUUUUCUCCACAGGAAAGGUGUGAAUAACUUUGUUGGAUCACAAAGUAUGGUCAGCAAAUAGCACUGAAAAAGCACCCUCUUCAUCUACAUGGCUGCCUGAGAGUGGAUUUGCUGUGCUGAAGACAGUCAGGAGCAAUUCCCACUGCCUACUGAGCUGCAUCUUCUGCUUGUCCAGCGUGCUUGGCUAUGGGACAAGCGAAGUCUCUCAUUUCCCAUAGAUCAGCAGUCUUGUGAGCUGAUCUUGAAGCUCCUCCAACUCAUGUAGCACCUGCUCGUGUCUGUCUGGAUCCUGUGCCAGGUGCUAGAACAGGUUGGGUGGUUGGGAUGCUCAGAAAUCCUGUGGCAGGAUAAUGUCUGCAGGCACCGCUUUGUUUCCUGUGAGGAAGUGAUCCAGGCGUCUCUCCUGCAGGCAGCAGUGCAGGUAGUACAAGAUGUCGUCCAUCUGCAGCACGAAAUGCCUCUCAUGCCAGCUUUCCAAAGGGAUGGCACUCAGGAGGUAUAUGAACACUGUCUUCAAUUCAUAGGUAGAAAAGUUGUGGCCCACCAGGAUAUAGGCGCACACUUGCAUACAUCUGAGGUAGAAAUUGCUGUGAUUGGCGUGGGUGACUAUAUGCUGUAAGAACUUUGCCUCUGCCACAGCACAGCUGUGUGGCCAGGUCAUGCUGGAGCUACCAGCACCCUGUGUCUCCUGGCUGCUUAGAAAGAUGUCCACAUCUUGCUGUACACCAAGCAUGACCUUACUGGAGACUGUUUUGAUGUGAAGAAGGUCGAUGUGAACCAUGUGGGAGUGCCUCGACAGCACUCACAUUCAGGAUGCGCUUUCCUGUCAGUCAAAUGCAUUUCCAGAGCUUUUUGGUCAGCGCCCGGUACCAGUGGGCUCUUCUGUAAAGCUGUGGAGGAAGAACAGCAUGCCCUGCUCCCUCCUGCAUGUGCGUUUCAACUCCACAUGGAUAUGGGAGUUCCUUGCUGGCAGCUCCCCAACAGUGCCCAGUUCCAGGCAGAAGACAUGUUACAAGGUGAAGGUCAAAACUGCCAGGAACGACUGAUAUUCAUGGCGUUAACUUUCAGUAUUUUCAUUGGCAUUGAAAGAAGAGAUAAAAAUCAUCUAGAGCUUCCAAAAUUAGAUACACAAUUAUGACCUCCUAGGUACUCGAGCCUCUCCUAUGACUCAUUUGUAAGUAUUUGAGCGCAUCUGUUCACCUUUGUACAAAUAGAGCCUGUGUCCAAAAUGUUGCGGGUUUAAAAGAGCAUAAGCAUUCCACUGUUGAUUUACAGAACAACAUUGCCAUUGUGAACUUUUAGUGAAUGUUUAAGUGAUGACCAUACAUGGUGAGCUGCAUGGUUUCCCAAGGACUGGUUGAAAACAUUGGUAUAGGUUCACUGUGAUCAGAAAGGUAGCAGCAGGCUGUAAUUGCUCUCACUUGGUCUCAAAAAGGCAAGAUGGGGGGGAAAAGCAUGCCUGCUUUUCCCUUCUAUGUCCCUUCUACAGUUGUCAGAAACAAAUAAACAAAGUGGUAUCUUUACA